ACUCCAUGGUGAGGACAAGACCUAGUAUAACCCUUCAAUCUUUCCCAAGCUUCAUAGAGAGCUUCGUUCGGACCUUCGUUCGAAGCUAGUUAUAUCAUUUCUAAUUCU
This is a non-coding RNA of Arabis alpina (gray rockcress), 108 nucleotides long. NCBI's taxonomy places the organism in Eukaryota, Viridiplantae, Streptophyta, Magnoliopsida, Brassicales, Brassicaceae. The record is from Rfam.